This is a long non-coding RNA of Perca fluviatilis (European perch), 136 nucleotides long. RefSeq lists it as uncharacterized. NCBI's taxonomy places the organism in Eukaryota, Metazoa, Chordata, Actinopteri, Perciformes, Percidae. The record is from RefSeq and is a predicted model, not a curated record. The transcript has 3 exons.
CGGACAAAGAAAGAAGAUUUUAUUUGCUUCGCCAAACGAUCUCACGAAAAAAUGACUCUGGUCCACAAGCAAGAAAGCAUUCCAGGACGGAGCGUGUGUCUGGAAGCCCUGUCAGUCAGUAGACAUCACUGCCACC